This 496-nucleotide ribosomal RNA is filed under the name uncultured bacterium. Its description in RNAcentral is "partial 16S ribosomal RNA". It matches the Rfam family "Bacterial small subunit ribosomal RNA", at positions 28 to 506 of the family's 1533-position model. The record is from RNAcentral.
GAUGAACGCUGGCGGCGUGCCUAAUACAUGCAAGUCGAGCGAACGGACGAGAAGCUUGCUUCUCUGAUGUUAGCGGCGGACGGGUGAGUAACACGUGGAUAACCUACCUAUAAGACUGGGAUAACUGCGGGAAACCGGAGCUAAUACCGGAUAAUAUUUUGAACCGCAUGGUUCAAAAAUAAAAGACGGUCUUGCUGUCACUUAUAGAUGGAUCCGCGGUGCAUUAGCUAGUUGGUAAGGUAACGGCUUACCAAGGCAACGAUGCAUAGCCGACCUGAGAGGGUGAUCGGCCACACAGGAAGUUAGACACGGUCCAGACUCCUACGGGAGGCAGCAGUAGGGAAUCUUCCGCAAUGGGCGAAAGCCUGACGGAGCAACGCCGCGUGAGUGAUGAAGGUCUGCGGAUCGUAAAACUCUGUUAUUAGGGAAGAACAUAUGUGUAAGUAACUGUGCACAUCUUGACGGUACCUAAUCAGAAAGCCACGGCUAACUACGU